ACGGAUUUCAACAAGAACUGAAUAUUCAUGAUCUUUUCUGAUUUUAGAAGCUAAUCAGGGUCAGGGAUGGUCAGUAUUUAGAUGGGGUGCCCAUGAAAGAGCGUCAGAGAUCUCUA
This 116-nucleotide ribosomal RNA is filed under the name Pogona vitticeps (central bearded dragon). Lineage: Eukaryota; Metazoa; Chordata; Lepidosauria; Squamata; Agamidae. The record is from RNAcentral.